UGAAGCGGCAACAGCUCAAAUUUGAAAUCUGGCUCCUUCGGGGUCCGAGUUGUAAUUUGUAGAGGGUGCUUUGGCGUUGGCCAUGGUCUAAGUUCCUUGGAACAGGGCGUCACAGAGGGUGAGAAUCCCGUACGUGGCCGCUGGCCUUCGCCAUGUAAAGCCCCUUCGACGAGUCGAGUUGUUUGGGAAUGCAGCUCUAAAUGGGAGGUAAAUUUCUUCUAAAGCUAAAUAUUGGCCAGAGACCGAUAGCGCACAAGUAGAGUGAUCGAAAGAUGAAAAGCACUUUGGAAAGAGAGUCAAAAAGCACGUGAAAUUGUUGAAAGGGAAGCGCUUGCAGCCAGACUUGCCCGUAGUUGCUCAUCCAGGUUUCGGCCCGGUGCACUCUUCUGCGGGCAGGCCAGCAUCAGUUCAGGCGGUCGGAUAAAGGUUUCGGGAAUGUGGCUCUCUUCGGGGAGUGUUAUAGCCCGGGGCGUAAUGCGACCAGCCUGGACUGAGGUCCGCGCAUCUGCUAGGAUGCUGGCGUAAUGGCUGUAAGCGGCCCGUCUUGAAACACGGACCAAGGAGUCUAACAUCUAUGCGAGUGUUUGGGUGUCAAGCCCGAGCGCGUAAUGAAAGUGAACGGAGGUGGGAACCCGCAAGGGCGCACCAUCGACCGAUCCUGAUGUCUUCGGAUGGAUUUGAGUAAGAGCAUAGCUGUUGGGACCCGAAAGAUGGUGAACUAUGCCUGAAUAGGGUGAAGCCAGAGGAAACUCUGGUGGAGGCUCGCAGCGGUUCUGACGUGCAAAUCGAUCGUCAAAUUUGGGCAUAGGGGCGAAAGACUAAUCGA
RNAcentral lists this ribosomal RNA (826 nucleotides) under Clohesyomyces aquaticus. RNAcentral's name for it is "partial large subunit ribosomal RNA". It matches the Rfam family "Eukaryotic large subunit ribosomal RNA", at positions 94 to 938 of the family's 3401-position model. The record is from RNAcentral. Lineage: Eukaryota; Fungi; Ascomycota; Dothideomycetes; Pleosporales; Lindgomycetaceae.